RNAcentral lists this long non-coding RNA (9050 nucleotides) under Zostera marina. Its description in RNAcentral is "long non-coding RNA (ZMAR_LNC005058)". The record is from RNAcentral. Lineage: Eukaryota; Viridiplantae; Streptophyta; Magnoliopsida; Alismatales; Zosteraceae.
CACUUUCGAAGUGAAAGAACAACCAAACCAUUGUCCCUUUAAUCAAUCCAUCCAUACAUUCAAUGGCGAAACUAUCUCUUGUAGUAGUUAUCAGUUUCUUCAUCACCACUCUCAUCUCCUUUUGCUAUGCUUCAUCAUAUGAUCGUGCUUUUGUUUUAGAGGGUAAUUCUUUGUUCACGGAAGUAGGUGAAUUGCCGACUCUCCAAAGAAGUAAAGUUUACAACUUCGAAGUCUACUGGCACGAAUCCUUCAUUCCUCCCAAUGCAUCAUCGAUAGUUAUUGGCGGAGCCGACCUUAGUCAGAUCGAUCCUAGAGGAUUCGGCACUGCCUAUGCUUUCGAUUGCCCACUGACAAUUAAGCCUAAGGUGCCUACAUCACCGGAUGAUGUUAUUGGGAACGCGCAAGGAUAUUAUAUUCUUUCUGCAAGGGAGGAGGUUGGACUUGCCGUAACGAUGAACAUGCAUUUCAAAGGGGAUUCAGAGAAAAAAAAUGUUUUGAGUUUUCAAGGAAGAGUUCAAUCGUCCGGAAACAUAAGAGAAGUCCCCAUCAUCGGAGGAAGUGGAAAGUUCAGGGGUGCUACUGGAUAUUACAAAUCCCGAAUGGUUUCAUCUGAUCCUAAAACCCAUCAAAAUAUUGUCUUGUUCAAUGUUAUGAUGAAAAUACCUUCUAAAACCACCAUUAAUCCACUUUUUGAAUCCAUGUAAUAUGAUGAAAACCAUAUCUAUCUAUCUAUCUAUCUAUAAUUCUAUAUAUGUAAGAGGGAUAAAAUAAAUAAAUUUAGCUUUAAUUUCCCCUUGUAAUAUCUUUUCUCAAUAAAUAAACUUUCAAGAGUAUUAUAAAGAUUACAUUGAUGCUUUAAGCCUUCAACUAAUUAGAAUUAACCUAUCUACUGUCUUCUAUCGAAAUUUAGUUAAUAACUAACUGUUCUUUUCGAUCUUCAACUUAAUCUCCAUCUUCGUCUACUUCCGUUUCUUCUUCUUCUUCUUCUUCUUCUCAUUCUUGUCUCAAUCGCUAAUCGACGAGAGUCGAUCUAUAAUUAAAUACAGACACUUACUAAACUCUCUACAGAUUGUAUAUUUAUAUUUCUAAAACAAAUCAUAAUUUUCUUGAUUUCAUUUAUUAAUUUAUGAGAAUUAUAAAAGAAAAUUAAAAGACAAUCAUUGAAGAACAGUGAAUCCAAAUCUCCAUUCAUAGAGAGUAUAAGUUUUCAUCUCUGUAUUAAUACAUCUCUUGGAUCCUUAUUAUUUUUUAUAAGGUAAGUGAUCAGUCAGCUUCACCUGCCACCUGUUAGAAUUGUUGCCUCACAACCACUUGUUUUCUCUAAAUAAUUAAUCAUUCACGUGUUUUAAUGCAUGAUUUAAAUUUCGAAAGGAUAAGAUGACCGACAUGUAGAGAAAUAAGACGAAACUAUUAAUUGAGUUAGGUUUGGAAUCGGCUAUUUGCCAGUUGUGAGUCUCAUUUAUCUAUAAAAACAAGCCUACGGUAUUCUGAGGUUCAAGUACAUCUAAACCAUUGCCCCUUUAAUCAAUCCAUCCAUACAUUCAAUGGCGAAACUAUCUCUUGUAGUAGUAAUUAUCAGCUUCCUCAUCACCAUUCUCAUCUCUUUUUGCUACGUAUAAGAUGGUGAGGAUGAUAACCAAAUUGUAUUACUUUGUAUAUCGUUUGAUCAUGUAUUUAUACUAUUAUUUCUAACCGUUAUUAGUUAUAUAACUAAUAUUAUUCUCUAAUACACCCCCUUCCUGGAGGCCCACCGGAGCUUCGCGACGAGCUUUUCUUGUAGUAUAGAGAAGCUUCUAGGCGGUAGUGCUUUAGUCAAAAUAUCUGUCCAUUGUUCACGCCCGGGAACAUGCUUUACGAUGAUGUCUCCGUUUUCUACCUUUUCGCGGACGAAGUGGAGGUCAAGCGCUACAUGUUUGAGCUUUAUAUGUCCAAUCGGAUUCUUCAUGAUGAAGGUAGCUCCUAGGUUGUCUGAUAGAAUUGCCAUAUGUCGUGGUACUUCUACUCCCAACUCAAUCAGUGCUGAGCGAACUGCUUCUAUUUCUUGGGUCGUAGUAGCUAUUGUACGAUAUUCGGCCUCCGUGCUCGAUCGAGCUAGCGCGCUUUGUUUUCGGGAUGCCCAUGACACUAGUGUUCCUUCGACGUAUACUAGAAAACCCGUACGACUUUUGCGAUCGGUUGUGUCACCUCCCCAAUCGGCGUCACAGUAUGCCGUGAUCCCGAAGUUGUUUAUUUUUCGUAGUGCAAUGCCGUGUUUUUGAGUUCCAAGUAAGUAACCCAGAAUGCGUUUUACUGCUAUCCAAUGAACCAUUUUUGGUUCGGCCAUAAAUUGAGCGAGUCGAUUCACCGCGACUUGAACAUCCGGCCUUGUUAGGGUGAUGUACUGUAGUGAUCCUAUGAUCCGUCGAAAUUCACUUGGGUCAUCAAUGAUCGGUCCUUCUGAGUGAAGUUCGAUGUUUUCGAGCAUCGGAGUGGAGACUGCUUUUAGUUCCCCUAUGUUGCAAUUUUGGAGAAGAUUUAGAAGAUACCGGGUUUGAGAUAAAUGUAACCCAUCUUUGACUCUUUUGACCUGAAUGCCGAGGAAAUAAUCGAGAGUACCCAGGUUACGUAUGGGAAAUUCAGCGCCCAAUCUGUUUAUUACUUUCUUGACUUCUUCCUCAUUUGAUCCUACUAUUACGAUAUCGUCGACGUAGACGAAUAGGAAUAUCGUAAUUGAUGCUUUUCGAUAAAUGAAAAGUGAAUGAUCUAAAGAAGUAAUUAACACAUAAUUACUGAAUUGGACUUAAUUGAGAAUAAGUAAAACAGAGAUACUUACAGUUUUAACUAAGAAAGAAACUGUAAGGUUCAAUGUGCAAUCUUUACCACUUAAAAACAAAACACUCUAGGAACCACAGAACAAACUAUAGAACAUCCUGGAUUUCAUAAAAAUCAAAACAGGAUUGCUCUGGACAAGUCAGAAAUAACUGAAAAUAAUCAGUCUGACCAGUCCUCAACUGAAAAAGAAAAAUCACAUAUUUCAGAGGAUUUUGAAAACAAUUACUCUAAUAAGAAUCAAAACCAACUCCUCAUCAAUAAUCAAGAAAAAAAGGCAUAUACUGAAAAACAAAGCUCAGAACAAAGCUUUGCAACCAAUCAUGAAGAAAAGGAACAAUUACCUCAAAAUAAUGAUACACAAAGCAAGACUGAAACAAAUAAAAUUGUAAAAACAAGGUUGGGGAGGGUAGUAACUAAACCCAAGCAUUUUGAUGAAUUCUAUAUGGAUGAUAAAUCAAAAAGCAAAAUUAAAUACCCCAUGAGCAACUAUGUAUCAUAUCAUAGGAUAAAUCCCAAACACAAGGAAUUUCUCAAACAAGUUAAUAACAAUAUAGAACCCAACACAUAUAAUGAAGCAUCUAAAGAUCCAAAAUGGAUAGAUGCAAUGAAAAAUGAGAUGGAAGCCCUCAUCUCAAAUAAAACUUGGGAUAUAACUGAACUUCCUAAAGGAAGGAAAGCAGUAGGCUCUAAAUGGAUAUACAAAAUCAAGUAUAAGCCAAAUGGAGAAAUUGAGAGAUAUAAAGCAAGGCUAGUAGCAAAAGGUUUCUCUCAAAAAGAGGGAUUUGAUUUCUAUGAAACUUUUGCACCAGUUGCAAAAAUGACCACAGUAAGACUAUUAAUUGCUCUUGCAACACAAAAAAGAUGGAAUCUAUAUCAAAUAGAUGUCAAUAAUGCCUUCCUACAUGGUGAUCUCCAUGAGGAAGUAUAUCUAAAGGCACCUCAAGGAUUACUCCAAGAAGGAGAUAAAAGAGUAUGUAAACUCAAAAAAUCCUUAUAUGGCCUCAAACAGGCCUCUAGAAACUGGUUUGAGAAACUGAGAAACACUCUAUUAGAGAUUGGAUUCUCUCAAACAAAAUCAGAUUACUCUCUAUUCAUAAGAGAGAAAAAUGAAAAUUUAAUAUACCUAAUUGUCUAUGUAGAUGAUAUAAUCAUCACAGGCAGUAAUGAGCUAGAAAUAGCAUUCCUCAAAAUUCAACUAGAAAAUAAAUUUAAACUAAAGGAUCUUGGAAAACUAAACUACUUUCUAGGAAUAGAAGUAUUAUAUUCCAGUGAAGGAACCUUAUUAACACAAAGAAAAUAUGCACUAGAAAUACUUAAGGAAAGUGGCAUCUUAGGUGCAAAAGAGUCCAAAAUACCCAUUGAGAAAAAUAUAGAUCUCAAAAGUGAAUCCAAACCAAUAAAAGAUCCAACCUUCUAUAGGAAGUUAGUGGGAAAGCUAAUAUAUCUUAACAUCACCAGACCUGACCUAAGCUAUGCAGUACACUGGCUAAGUCAAUUCAUGAGUGAUCCAAGAGAAAUUCAUUUAAAAACACUCUUUAAAGUACUGAGAUAUUUAAAAGGAGCCCCAGGGCAGGGCAUUCUAUAUAAAACAAGUGAAAACUUGAACAUCCAAGCCUAUUGUGAUUCUGACUGGGCUGGAUGCCAAAUUAGCAGAAAAUCUGUAACUGGGUUUUGCAUCCUAAUUGGAAGCUCCAUAAUAUCUUGGAAAUCCAAAAAGCAAGCUACAAUAUCAAGAUCAUCUUGUGAAGCUGAGUAUAGAGCAAUAGCUCAAACAUCUUGUGAAUUAGUAUGGAUUCACCAACUAAUUAAGGAAAUGAAAAUAAAAACUAGAAAUGAAACAACAAUAUUUUGUGAUAACAAAUCAGCAAUUCAUCUUGCUAAUAACCCUGUUUUCCAUGAGAGAACAAAGCAUAUAGAAAUAGAUUACCAUUUUGUUAGAGAAUUAAUCACCCAAGGGGUAUUCAAUCUUAAGCAAAUUGGAACCAAAUAUCAAUUAGCAGACAUGUUCACUAAACCCAUGGGGGAACAUGAAAUUACUUCAGCCUCUGUCAAGCUUGGAGUAAUAAAUAUCUACUCCAGAGCUUGAGGGGGGAGUAAAGAAGUAAUUCACAUAAUUACUGAAUUGGACUUAAUUGAGAAUAAGUAAAACAGAGAUACUUACAGUUUUAACUAAGAAAGAAACUGUAAGGUUCAAUGUGCAAUCUUUACCACUUAAAAACAAAUAACAAAAUAAAAAGGAACGUGAGGACUGGACUGCAAGUUUACCCACUUAAAGGCCAUCAAAGAUUAUACAAAAGAACGAGGACUAAAACUGCAAGUUUACCCACUUAACAGAAUAAAAGAAAUACAAGGACUGGACUGCAAGUUUACCCACUUAAAGGCCGUAAAAGAAUAUAGAAGAGUACGAGGAUCAAACUGCAAGUUUACCCACUUAAAUAAAAGUAAUUGGGUAAUUGGGUAUUUCGAUCAAUGUCUGAUUAAAGAUCCAAUUAACCGAUUAAUGUUAUUAGUUGUAUUAGUUAAGUUAGUUAGUGUUAAUUUCAGUUUAAAUAACUCUUGUAAUUAACAAGUUUAAGAUAUAUGAUUUUACACAGAUUACACACUUAGUAGCUAAUUACACUUCUACAGUGUAUAACGGCUACUUUGGUAGUUAAUCUAAUUAACCUACUUCUUUCCCUCUUUCUCAUUCUAUUUCUCGCCGGACGGCGAGCUUUGUCGCCGGAGUCGUCUCCCAUCUCCCAAUCCCGCCGUUGGAUCAACGUCAGCUUUUUAACAUGAUCGACGGCGGAUUCUUUGAAUGAUAGUGUUCCCAAGAACCCACUUAGUUUCUUUACCAACAUCUCGGUGAUUGUUUGAGCCCGUAUAAUGACUUGUGAAGGAGGCAGACUUGAUCUGGAUGUUGAUUAUCGAUGAACCCGUAUGGUUGUGCUACCACAAUCCUUUCUUUGAGACUUCCGUGUAAAAAGGCAUUUGAUACGUCGACUUGAUGAAGGUUCCACCCUUUGGAUAUAGCCAAGAGUAACACUAGUCGAAUCGAUAAUGGACGAACCACCGGGUUGAACGUAUCAAAAUAGUCUGUGCCGUGAAUCUGUCGUAGCUCAUUUACUACGAGACGUGCCUUGAAGUGCACUACCCCGCCGUUCGCUUUUGAUUUAACCUUGAAUACCCAUUUGGUGUUGAUUAUGUUAUCUUCUGGUCGACGUGAAACCAGGAUCCAGGUACCAUUUUCUUGGAGUGCGUUGAAUUCUUUGGUCAUAGCAUCCUUCCAUUGGGGAAUAAGCAUGGCUGAUUUUGCCGAUUUUGGAGUUGAGACCUCCGACGCUGUUGUAGCCAAGGCAAACUUUGGGUUGAGUAUAAUGAUCCCAACCGAGCUUCUGGUAACCAUUGUUGUUGUUCGUGCCGGGAUCUCGUUGCCUGCCGAUUCGGUACUUGCUAGAUCGUUAGAUUCUUCUAUCGACGGGAUCUGGUUCGCUAAUUCCGUCUCGUUUGACCAUGCAUCGAUUGGCUGAAUUGACUCGGUUGCUUCACUCGGAUGGCUUGACUUGGUUGAAUAAGUCGGAUUUCUUGAUUCGGUUGAGUCGGGUACCGUAGUUGUCGAAGCCGGAAUGGGAUUGAUCGGAUUAAUUGGGCUCGUAACCGGUAAUAUCCCCAAUUCUGUUUGUUUGGGUUGAGUGUUAAUGUUAUUUCUUUCCCCAAACAGUUCUUUAUUUAAAGAAAAUUGUUCUUCAUCAAACUUGACGUCGCGAGAGGCAUAAAUUCUCCGGUUGGUUGGUUUAAAACACAGGUAGCAGUCUUGAUUCAUAGAAUACCCGACAAAUAUACAUUCGGAAGAUUUGGCCUCCAGUUUGUUCUUUCGAUAGGGUCGAAGACACGGGUAACACCUGCUUCCGAAUACACGAAGUUUUGAAUAUUCCGGAGUUUUGUUUAACAAUGCUUCCAUCGAAGAUUUCCCGGCUAAUAGAAGUGUCGGAUUCCUGUUGUAUAAAUAGCAAGCUGUUAACACCCCAUAGUCCCAAAAUUGGUUCGGUAAAUUUGCGUGGCGUAGCAUUGUAACUGUUGUAUCAAAUAUGUGCUUGUGUCUUCUCUCUACUCGACCCAUCUGUUGGUGUGAGUACGGGGCUGACAUACGGUGUGAAAUGCCCAACUCUUCCAACUUUUUUCCUAACUUUCGGUACUCCAUUGCAUUAUCUGUUUGUACGGCUAAGAUUUUGCUUUCACAGUGUCUUUCUGCCCAAGUUCGAAAAUUUUCAAAUACUUGAUAAAGAUCGGAUUUUCGUACCACCGGGUAUACCCAAUUAAAGUGUGUGCAGGCGUCUACAAAAUUUAUAUAAUAAGAGUACCCUUCUACAGAAAUUGUGAGGGCCGGUCCCCAAAUAUCUGAAAAUAUCAGUUCAAGUGGCUUGUAUACCGUUGUCCAAUAUGGAUGAGGAAGAGAAUGUGAUUUGCCAAGCUGACAAGAAUUACACAGUUUAUACGUUUUAACACUAGAUUUUAUUAAACCUUGUUUUUCUAAUACACUCAUAUAUGCAGAAUUUAAAUGGCCCAGGCGACAAUGCCAUAGAUAGUGCGCCGGUGGGUUAUUUUCGCAAACAUUCACAGAAUUUGUGGCCGGUUUGAUGACAAUCGGCAACUCGUACAAUCCUCUAUUUGCCGCUCCUUCCAGCAAUACCGUCUUAGUAGCCGAAUCCUUUACCCGUACCUUCUGUGAAUCAAAUUCAAUGGAGACAUUGUUAUCAAUACAAAAUCUGUUCACCGACAAUAAAUUUCUAGUAGCCGUAGGAACUAGUAGUAAAUCAUUAAGAACAAAAUUAUUAAAAUCUGUAAUAGCUCUGCUUUGACCAGAACAAGAAAUUGACAAUGAGCUUCCAUCCGCCGUAAAAAUUUUACCAUUAUAUGCUCUGGGGUAUUGGAUAUUUUCAGGUGCGGCCGUAACAUGUGAUGUCGCCCCUGAAUCUCGGUACCACCUUAUUGUUGGACCUUCUGCAGAAAUUAGAUUAGCCGAGGGUGUGUUUCUAAAAUUCCCAGUUGUGGCAAGUGAAGGUGUAUUAUUAAAAGUUGAGGGUGUAUUAUUAAAAUUUCCAUUUAUUCCAGAAGACGAUAAUGCCCUCCCAUGAGCCGCCGGAAAUCGUUCUAGGUUUAAACGAUUAUAGCAAUCCGGCGCGAUGUGUCCCUUUUUCGAGCAUAUCUGGCAGCGAAGAUCUCCCCUUUGUGAUUUUUGCCCACCGUCGUAGGUGUUCUGGUGGCGGCGUUCUUGCUGCGGCGGCUGCGACGUUUUGGCGACGACGGCAGCAACAUUUCCGGCGACGGCAACAACGACAUUCGCCCGCGAUUUCUCCAAUCAAAGGUUGUGGUCCAUCAGCAUCUCGCAUACUCCGGUGAAUGUUAGGUCUGAAUUGAAUGGUGUGGUGAUAGCUGUUGCAAAAGAUUCAAAUUCAUCCCCCAAUCCUCCCAAGGUGAUUAGCACGAUUUCUGAUUCUUUAAGUCCCUCUCCUGUUGAUUUGAGAGCAUCUUUUAAAAUUGAAAUCUUGGACAAGUACUCUUCAAUGCUUAAUCCUCCCUUUCGAAUCGAUUGGAGUUGAAGACGAAUAUGAAGUUGCCUUGCUUGUGUUCCCGAUGAGAAGAGUUUGCGUAGUGCAUCCCAAACCUCUGCCGAUGUCUUCCGAGAUGCCACUUGCGGAAGAAUGGUCGUUGAGAUCCCGGUCAAGAUCCAGCUCAAAAUCAACUGAUCUUGCUGGAUCGAUGAUGGCGACGAAAGUUCAACCUUGCCAAGAACGUAAUCGAAGAGUUGAAACCCCCUAAGCAUGGCCGAAAAUUGUGUCUCCCAUGAGUAGUAAUUACUCUUAUCAAGUUGGACGCAUUUCAUUGGCUUCAUCGCUAUCCUUGAUGAUGGAGCAUUUGCGCCUGAAUCUGCAGCGGAAAACGUCAUCCUUGACUCUAAACCCGAAAAAUUGAUACCAUAUAAGAUGGUGAGGAUGAUAACCAAAUUGUAUUACUUUGUAUAUCGUUUGAUCAUGUAUUUAUACUAUUAUUUCUAACCGUUAUUAGUUAUAUAACUAACUAAUAUUAUUCUCUAAUACUAUGCUUCAUCAUAUGAUCGUGCUUUUGUUUUAGAGGGUAAUUCUUUGUUCACAGAAGUAGGUGAAUUGCCGACUCUCCAAAGAAGUAAAGUUUACAACUUCAAAGUCUACUGGCACGAAUCCUUCAUUCCUCCCAAUGCAUCAUCGAUAGUUAUUGGCGGA